RNAcentral lists this ribosomal RNA (158 nucleotides) under euascomycete RFLP-type b. RNAcentral describes it as "partial 5.8S ribosomal RNA". It matches the Rfam family "5.8S ribosomal RNA". From Rfam's summary of the family: 5.8S ribosomal RNA (5.8S rRNA) is a component of the large subunit of the eukaryotic ribosome. It is transcribed by RNA polymerase I as part of the 45S precursor that also contains 18S and 28S rRNA. Functionally, it is thought that 5.8S rRNA may be involved in ribosome translocation. The record is from RNAcentral. Lineage: Eukaryota; Fungi; Ascomycota; Sordariomycetes; Magnaporthales; Magnaporthaceae.
AAACUUUCAACAACGGAUCUCUUGGUUCUGGCAUCGAUGAAGAACGCAGCGAAAUGCGAUAAGUAAUGUGAAUUGCAGAAUUCAGUGAAUCAUCGAAUCUUUGAACGCACAUUGCGCCCUGCGGUAUUCCGCAGGGCAUGCCUGUUCGAGCGUCAUUU